This 4718-nucleotide long non-coding RNA is filed under the name Sus scrofa (pig). Its description in RNAcentral is "lncRNA (ENSSSCG00005044388.1)". Lineage: Eukaryota; Metazoa; Chordata; Mammalia; Artiodactyla; Suidae. The record is from RNAcentral.
AUGGUUGUGGCUGAUGGGGCAGGGCCUCUGCCCUGGUGCUGGGUUCACCUGCUGCGUCUCCCCAGAGGGCCCUGGGGAGCAGACUGGGUUUGUGUGCAUCGCCGAGGCCCAGCCCUGCCGGGCUCCCUGGGCCGGGUUCGAGACGAGAUGCCGGCAAGCAGCACAGCCCUUCUGGAUGGCAACUGCAAGGAGCGGCUGGACUGUGCUGGAGGCGGCCCCCGGCCCCCGGCCUCCGGCCCCGUCCAGGCGCCGGCUUCAGAGGCCCGUGCUGCCUUUGAUUUUAGGAGGUUAAGGAGGUUAAACGAGGUGGGUGUCCCCUGCCUUAACAUUGAGGGAGGAGAGUCAAGCCGCUCUCGAUCCAGUGGGACUGGCCGUCUCUCAGAAGCUCCACAGCGCGGGGGGCAGGUGGGGUCCUCGCUGCGCCGCCUCAGCACGCCGAUCCCAGCUCUUGGUGCCCGAUGCUUCCUCCCCUCACUGGAAUGUGCAGGUCCCUCCGAAGUUGUGUAAGUUGUGUAGUCGUCACCCGUGUUCGUUACGGGGCCCAAGCUGAGAACUGGUCUUGUGUCCGCGGGACCCGUUUCUGGAGCACAGCCUGGCUCCCCAGGCUCCUGCCGACGCAUCCCCGGGCAUUUGGUGCAGAGGCGAGCUGGGCUCUCUCUCUGAGGGACCUGCACCCCAGGAAGCUCAGGGAGAGUGCAGGGCCCUGAGGGCUGGAGUCAGCAUCUCUGCUGUGUCGUCUCAGGGUCCCUCCUCCUGAAAGGAGGACACCUCAGGGUGCUGUGACACCAGGAUGGGACACGUCCUGCAGAUGUGCUUUCACACGUGGCCACACUUGAACCUCGUUGUUGGGUUUCAUUCUCAUGUUAAAGAUGAGAUCACACGAAGCUCAAAGAAGUGGAAGGACCCCUCUCCCCCACCAAGUGCACCUGCUGACCGUGGAGGCAGCGUGGGGUUGCCGUGGCGGUGGCUCAGCGUGAGCUCCAUGGUGGCCGUGGUCUGAGCUGUUGCCUGGCGGCACGUUGGUUCUGGGGAAGGUUUUGUUCAGAGAACCGCCAGCCCUGGGGACACCCCUUCCACGCUUGUUGUCCCAGCCCCAUCACAGCCGUGGGUCACUGGCGGUGAGGGCUGCCCUGAGGGUGACAGUGGGCGCCUGUGGUCGGGAGCUGAGAGGAAAGGGGGGUUUCUGUCCAGAAGCGGGCACCGGCUGAUCUGGUUUUAAAAGGGGCUAUUGCUGAGCCUUGAGGCUGCUUAUUCCACCACCUGCCUGCUGGGCGGGCGCCAUCUGCUCCAGGGAAGGGCGUCUCCCAGGGACAGGCUCUGUGGAGCCCGGCUGGUGCUCCUGGUGCCAGACACGAUGGGGGGACCUCGGACACGUUGCUGUGUGAUGGGUCCUGGAGGCCACGGGGUCUUGGACUCAUCGCUGAGACUUGGGGUCCGAGCUGGGCAGCCACGCCCUCAUUUCUGCUGUCCCCAGCGUCUGGGGGCCGCAGCAUCUGCCCGUCGCCCACCUGUCGUCCUGGCACUCCAGGCUGUGCUGGCGUCGCGCUGAGCGCGGGGUGUGGGCUGCUGAUGUUCUGGCUCCUCUCACCCUGAAGGCAGAGCCCCCUCUGCUUUGGACCUACCUGCCCUUGAGGCCCAAGGGGGAGUCUCGAGGGCAGCAGUUCAGCUCCUGGGUUGGGGACGUGUGACAGCCAUUUGGGGCCUUUAUAGACCUCUGCACCUGUGUCCUGGGACAGGCCGUUCUCGGCUGCAGCGUUGCUGGAGCCCAUGCAGGUCCGGGUGUCGGCUGGGCCGCCUGCUCCUCUUGGCGCUGCUCCUCGCUCAGAGCUGUGGGCACGGUGGGCAGCGCGCGUCCAGACUCUCACGCUCCGUCCGCAGCGCGGGUCAGCCUGGGCAGCCGUGGGCUUCCCUGGCUGCCCCGCGGGAGCUGGGCCCCAGCGGGAGCCGCGGGAGGGGGGCACGGAGGUGAUGGGAGGUGAUGGCGGUGACUGUUCCUGUGAAGUCUGCAGUGGGGUGCUCCGAGACAGACUCCAGUGGCCGAAUGUCACCUGCAGCUGGUGGCACUUCUGAGGAUGGCAGCCUCCCUUUCUGAGAGCCCGCCAGCAUCUGGUGUCGCUCUGAGUGCUGGGAUGAGCGCCGGGGCCUCCUUGCCGAAAAUAACCUUGUUUGGAUAAGGUUUUCCAUGUCCACCUAACCUUCUCUUUCCCAAAUCCUUCCCCUGCUGGAGUUUGACGGGGAACCUUGUGGGGUCCGUGACACGGUGCUGCUGCUCCAGACCCCAGGCCUUUGGAGCUCGUGACAUUGCCUGGGGCUGGGGCACAGAGGUCACAGCGUCCCCAGGAUGACCCCGCGGGACAGCCGGGAGCCCAGCUGAGUGUCCCCUGUAGCUUCUCAAGGGUUCACCUUGGGGGCCAAGUGCCAGGGCCUGGCUCUCAAUCCCUCUCUCUCUGGUCGGGGCUGUGGGGAGGGGGCUUCAGGGGGCAAGGUCUGCCGUUGGGGGGUGCUUAGGAUUUGCCCGGAGGAGGGGGCACGGGGCUGCACUUGCUGGGAAGAGCCGGCCCAGGUCAGCAUGAGAUGCUCCGCCCUGGGUGGUGGCUCUGCUGCUCACGGGCGGGGGCGGUGCUGGCCGGCGGUCAGACCUCCUGCUGACCCCAGGUGUCCCCUCCAUCACCUGGUAGCCUUAAACCUGAGUGUGUCCCAGGCUCGCAUCUGGGGUUUGUUCUCAGAACAGAGAGCUGAACACCUUAGCGGCCGUUCCACCUUGUAAAGACUGCAGACUCACACAGAGCCGAGGCUCUGAAGGCAGGGGUCGGGGUGGAGGAGCUUCCAAAGAGCUGACCUCCCAGGGUGACAGCACGGCUGGGGGUGGCAUGCUGGGGGACACGGGUCCUGUGGUGGCUUCCUUGCCCUGGGCGCUGGCACCGCUGAAGACCACCACACAGAAGAGCAGGGGACCUUGGUUGCACCUUGAGCGAGGCGACACUCCCAGUGGCUGCCCCGGCUGGGGAGGUAAGUCUGUGGCUGUGGCCGCACACGCGGGACGGCUGCACGUGCCGCACGGGGACGGUGUCCUGAGCGGAGGUCAGGGAGCGGCCCCUCUUCGCUCGAGGGCUGGCGGCCGCCUGGGUUCUGAGUUGGCCUGAGGUGUGGGACUUGGGUUAAAGGUAUGAUGUGGGCCAGCACCUGGGCCACGCGGCUUCCCCGACGGCUGGCGGGCGUGCUUCCGCCCUGGCCUCCCUUGUCCAGGUGUGGCCAGGCUGAGCUGGGGCUGCACAGUGCUGGGGGCCUGGGUGCCUGGGUGCCCGGCUGCGGCGUCGCCUCCUCCCACUUUCCGUGUCGAGUGCACACCGUGAGGGCGCGGAAGGGCUCCGUGUCUUUGGGCUUGUGUUGUGCAUGCCGGGCGUUAGACCUUGUGGCCCAGGGGCGGGCCGCCCCUCUCCGUGUACCUGCCUUCACGCCCCUUCCCCUGCAGACGCAUUACCUGUGAGGACGCAUGCAGUUGGCGCCUGACGGAUGAUUCCUCCUGGCAGCAGCCGUGGGGCCCGAGGCCUGGACACCCCCCAGGCCCUGCUCAGUGGGCCGGGUGCCGGUGGUGGUUGGACUCGGGACUGGCGGUGGGGGGACUAAGGGGCAUCCGCCGUGGUCACAGCCAAGGCCUCAUGCUGACCAUCGGGUCCCCCUCGUGGCCGGGAGCCCUGCUCCACGGGGAGCGGCCUUCCUCCUCCGAGGGGUCGGCACAGAAGGCCAUGCUCAGCUCAGCGGGCCCCAGGGCGCAGGGGGUGGGUGCCCGGCAGGUGGGGGCCUCAGGGGACAGAGCCUCUCCUGGGAGUGGUGACGGAACUUGGAAAGCCUUUAAAAUGUAGGCCCGGGUUCCUGGGAACCAGCUUUUCCGUGGGUGUUGGGGGCUGAGUGCUAGGCCUGUGAGCGGUGCCGUGUGCCGUCGGGGCCGGUGCGUGGGUUCUGAAGUCGUGCAGGUGCGGUGGGCGCGGCCCCGUCCCCUUCCUGGCACUGAGCCUGGCCCUCGGGUGCCGGCAAGCACUAUACACGCUGUACAGCUCCAGGGGGCAGGUCUCCUGCAGGAACGGGCUGGUCUCAGCAGGGAGGCUGGGGAGGCCAGGGCUGCGCCUGGCUGGACGCCGCCCCCGGAGCAGACAAGACCCCCCCGGUGCUUCCACCUGGGUGCAGUCACUGCUCCCGGCACACGGGCAGUUUCCGGGCUGUGACUGGGCUUCUGGCAGAGCCUGUCCCUUUCUGCCGCUGGUGUGACGUGAGCACAGCUCUUCAGAGGGUGAAGCUUGCAGUCAUCCGGGGAUGUUAGCACUUGUUUCUCGCUUUAUUCCUCGUGUCCCCCUUGAAGUGCACAACUUGUUUUUCCAAAAGUCAGUAGAGAACAGACGAGAGCAAUGAGGGCCGUUCUUGGCUGCGCCUGGCGACAGACACAGAGCGGGUGGGGAGGUGGGGCUGGUAGCUGCCACCCCCUUGCAGCAGACUCACUUCUGCAUUGGGGUGGGGGGGAGGUGACAUCUCAUGCAGGUGCCUCGAGCGCAGCUGCCCGGGGCGCGCGCCCUUUCCUUCCGGGGUGGCGCCGUUGCGCUGACCCGGACGGUGGACUUGUCACAUGUGGUCCACCAGGACGCCCUCAGCCCUGGGAGAGAUCUUGAGCCUUUAGGACCUGCCGACCGGCCCUGGGGCCGGACGAGGAGCGGCUGGGGUCACCC